AUGUAAAUGGGCUAUUCCAUUUAAUAUCCGUACCCCCCUGUCGAGGAUCCCUGGAAUUCUUCAGGGGUAAAGGGUUUUGAGCUUGGAAUUCUUCAGGGGUAAAGUGUUUUGAGCUUGGAAUUCUUCAGGGGUAAAGUGUUUUGAGUUUGGAAUUCUUCAGGGGUAAAGGGUUUUGAGCUUGGAAUUCUUCAGGGGGGAAGGGUUUUGAGCUUGGAAUUCUUCAGGGGUAAAGAGGUUUGACUUUGAAAUUUUUCAGAGCUUGGAAUUCUUCAGGGCUGAAGGGUUUUCAGCUUGGAAUUCUUCAAGGGUAAAAGGUUUUGAGCUUGGAAUUCUUCAGGGGUAAAGGAUUUUGAGCUUGGAAUUCUUCAGGGGUAAAGGGUUUUGAGCUUGGAAUUCUUCAGGGGUAAAGGGUUUUGAGUUUGGAAUUCUUCAGGGGUAAAGAGGUUUGACUUUGAAAUUUUUCAGAGCUUGGAAUUCUUCAGGGGUAAAGGGUUUUCAGCUCGGAAUUCUUCAGGGGUAAAAGGUUUUGAGCUUGGAAUUUUUCAGGGGUAAAGGGUUUUGAGCUUGGAAUUCUUUAGGGGUAAAGGGUUUUGAGCUUGGAAUUCUUCAGGGGUAAAAGGUUUUGAGCUUGGAAUUCUUCAGGGGUAAAGGGUUUUGAGCUUGGAAUUUUGGAAUUCUUCAGGGGUAAAAGGUUUUGAGCUUGGAAUUCUUCAGGGGUAAAGGAUUUUGAGCUUGGAAUUUUGGAAUUCUUCAGGGGUAAAAGUUUUGAGCUUGGAAUUCUUCAGGGGUAUAACCAUGAAAACCAUGUAUCCUCGACAGGGGGUGCACGGAUAUUAAAUGGAAUAGCCCAAU
Molecule: non-coding RNA, 852 nt
Organism: Paramuricea clavata
Lineage: Eukaryota; Metazoa; Cnidaria; Anthozoa; Malacalcyonacea; Plexauridae
Source: the annotation of a GenBank genome assembly